Molecule: ribosomal RNA, 301 nt
Filed under: uncultured bacterium
Lineage: Bacteria
Description: partial 16S ribosomal RNA
Rfam family: Bacterial small subunit ribosomal RNA
Source: RNAcentral
CAGUCGCCACGGUAAUACAGAGGGUGCGAGCGUUAAUCGGAUUUACUGGGCGUAAAGCGUGCGUAGGCGGCUUCUUAAGUCGGAUGUGAAAUCCCUGAGCUUAACUUAGGAAUUGCAUUCGAUACUGGGAAGCUAGAGUAUGGGAGAGGAUGGUAGAAUUCCAGGUGUAGCGGUGAAAUGCGUAGAGAUCUGGAGGAAUACCGAUGGCGAAGGCAGCCAUCUGGCCUAAUACUGACGCUGAGGUACGAAAGCAUGGGGAGCAAACAGGAUUAGAUACCCCGGUAGUCCCUGUCUCUUAACA